AUACGUAGGUGGCAAGCGUUGUCCGGAAUUAUUGGGCGUAAAGCGCAUGUAGGCGGUGCCUUAAGUCUGUCGUGAAACUGCGGGGCCUAACCCCGUAUGGCGAUGGAAACUGUGGCACUUGAGUGCAGGAGAGGAAAGGGGAACUCCCAGUGUAGCGGGGAAAUGCGUAGAUAUUGGGAAGAACACCGGUGGCGAAGGCGCCUUGCUGGACGGGGGCGGACGCUGAGAGGCGAAAGCCAGGGUAGCGAACGGGAUUAGAUACCCCGGUAGUCCUGGCCGUAAACGAUGGGUACUAGGUGUGGGGGGUAUCGACCCCUUCCGUGCCGAAGUUAACGCAAUAAGUACCCCGCCUGGGGAGUACGGCCGCAAGGCUUAAACUCAAAUGAAUUGACGGGG
RNAcentral lists this ribosomal RNA (396 nucleotides) under uncultured bacterium. RNAcentral describes it as "partial 16S ribosomal RNA". It matches the Rfam family "Bacterial small subunit ribosomal RNA", at positions 523 to 918 of the family's 1533-position model. The record is from RNAcentral.